Molecule: ribosomal RNA, 624 nt
Filed under: Limtongozyma cylindracea
Lineage: Eukaryota; Fungi; Ascomycota; Pichiomycetes; Serinales; Debaryomycetaceae
Description: LSU rRNA
Rfam family: Eukaryotic large subunit ribosomal RNA
Source: RNAcentral
AAUCAGGUAGGACUACCCGCUGAACUUAAGCAUAUCAAUAAGCGGAGGAAAAGAAACCAACAGGGAUUGCCUUAGUAACGGCGAGUGAAGCGGCAAGAGCUCAAAUUUGAAAUCUGGCACUUUCAGUGUCCGAGUUGUAAUUUGAAGAAGGCAGUCUUGGUAGUCAACCUUGUCUAUGUUCCUUGGAACAGGACGUCACAGAGGGUGAGAAUCCCGUGCGAUGAGGAUUGGCUGCUAUGUAAGGCGCUUUCGAAGAGUCGAGUUGUUUGGGAAUGCAGCUCUAAGUGGGUGGUAAAUUCCAUCUAAAGCUAAAUAUUGGCGAGAGACCGAUAGCGAACAAGUACAGUGAUGGAAAGAUGAAAAGAACUUUGAAAAGAGAGUGAAACAGUACGUGAAAUUGUUGAAAGGGAAGGGCUUGAGAUUAGACUUGGUUUUGCUCAAUCAUUUCUCCUUGUGGGAGGUGCUCUUGGCUUUACCGGGCCAGCAUCGGUUUUGAUGGCGGGAUAAGAACGUUUGAAUGUGGCCCCUCGGGGUGUUAUAGCUUUCGUUGAUACCGCCUAUUGGGACCGAGGACUGCGUCUUUGACAAGGAUGCUGGCGUAAUGAUCUUAAGCCGCCCGUCUUG